This 2903-nucleotide ribosomal RNA is filed under the name Escherichia coli. Its description in RNAcentral is "23S ribosomal RNA". It matches the Rfam family "Bacterial large subunit ribosomal RNA". The record is from RNAcentral. Lineage: Bacteria; Pseudomonadati; Pseudomonadota; Gammaproteobacteria; Enterobacterales; Enterobacteriaceae.
GGUUAAGCGACUAAGCGUACACGGUGGAUGCCCUGGCAGUCAGAGGCGAUGAAGGACGUGCUAAUCUGCGAUAAGCGUCGGUAAGGUGAUAUGAACCGUUAUAACCGGCGAUUUCCGAAUGGGGAAACCCAGUGUGUUUCGACACACUAUCAUUAACUGAAUCCAUAGGUUAAUGAGGCGAACCGGGGGAACUGAAACAUCUAAGUACCCCGAGGAAAAGAAAUCAACCGAGAUUCCCCCAGUAGCGGCGAGCGAACGGGGAGGAGCCCAGAGCCUGAAUCAGUGUGUGUGUUAGUGGAAGCGUCUGGAAAGGCGCGCGAUACAGGGUGACAGCCCCGUACACAAAAAUGCACAUAUUGUGAGCUCGAUGAGUAGGGCGGGACACGUGGUAUCCUGUCUGAAUAUGGGGGGACCAUCCUCCAAGGCUAAAUACUCCUGACUGACCGAUAGUGAACCAGUACCGUGAGGGAAAGGCGAAAAGAACCCCGGCGAGGGGAGUGAAAAAGAACCUGAAACCGUGUACGUACAAGCAGUGGGAGCCUCUUUUAUGGGGUGACUGCGUACCUUUUGUAUAAUGGGUCAGCGACUUAUAUUCUGUAGCAAGGUUAACCGAAUAGGGGAGCCGAAGGGAAACCGAGUCUUAACUGGGCGUUAAGUUGCAGGGUAUAGACCCGAAACCCGGUGAUCUAGCCAUGGGCAGGUUGAAGGUUGGGUAACACUAACUGGAGGACCGAACCGACUAAUGUUGAAAAAUUAGCGGAUGACUUGUGGCUGGGGGUGAAAGGCCAAUCAAACCGGGAGAUAGCUGGUUCUCCCCGAAAGCUAUUUAGGUAGCGCCUCGUGAACUCAUCUCCGGGGGUAGAGCACUGUUUCGGCAAGGGGGUCAUCCCGACUUACCAACCCGAUGCAAACUGCGAAUACCGGAGAAUGUUAUCACGGGAGACACACGGCGGGUGCUAACGUCCGUCGUGAAGAGGGAAACAACCCAGACCGCCAGCUAAGGUCCCAAAGUCAUGGUUAAGUGGGAAACGAUGUGGGAAGGCCCAGACAGCCAGGAUGUUGGCUUAGAAGCAGCCAUCAUUUAAAGAAAGCGUAAUAGCUCACUGGUCGAGUCGGCCUGCGCGGAAGAUGUAACGGGGCUAAACCAUGCACCGAAGCUGCGGCAGCGACACUAUGUGUUGUUGGGUAGGGGAGCGUUCUGUAAGCCUGUGAAGGUGUACUGUGAGGUAUGCUGGAGGUAUCAGAAGUGCGAAUGCUGACAUAAGUAACGAUAAAGCGGGUGAAAAGCCCGCUCGCCGGAAGACCAAGGGUUCCUGUCCAACGUUAAUCGGGGCAGGGUGAGUCGACCCCUAAGGCGAGGCCGAAAGGCGUAGUCGAUGGGAAACAGGUUAAUAUUCCUGUACUUGGUGUUACUGCGAAGGGGGGACGGAGAAGGCUAUGUUGGCCGGGCGACGGUUGUCCCGGUUUAAGCGUGUAGGCUGGUUUUCCAGGCAAAUCCGGAAAAUCAAGGCUGAGGCGUGAUGACGAGGCACUACGGUGCUGAAGCAACAAAUGCCCUGCUUCCAGGAAAAGCCUCUAAGCAUCAGGUAACAUCAAAUCGUACCCCAAACCGACACAGGUGGUCAGGUAGAGAAUACCAAGGCGCUUGAGAGAACUCGGGUGAAGGAACUAGGCAAAAUGGUGCCGUAACUUCGGGAGAAGGCACGCUGAUAUGUAGGUGAAGUCCCUCGCGGAUGGAGCUGAAAUCAGUCGAAGAUACCAGCUGGCUGCAACUGUUUAUUAAAAACACAGCACUGUGCAAACACGAAAGUGGACGUAUACGGUGUGACGCCUGCCCGGUGCCGGAAGGUUAAUUGAUGGGGUCAGCGCAAGCGAAGCUCUUGAUCGAAGCCCCGGUAAACGGCGGCCGUAACUAUAACGGUCCUAAGGUAGCGAAAUUCCUUGUCGGGUAAGUUCCGACCUGCACGAAUGGCGUAAUGAUGGCCAGGCUGUCUCCACCCGAGACUCAGUGAAAUUGAACUCGCUGUGAAGAUGCAGUGUACCCGCGGCAAGACGGAAAGACCCCGUGAACCUUUACUAUAGCUUGACACUGAACAUUGAGCCUUGAUGUGUAGGAUAGGUGGGAGGCUUAGAAGUGUGGACGCCAGUCUGCAUGGAGCCGACCUUGAAAUACCACCCUUUAAUGUUUGAUGUUCUAACGUUGACCCGUGAUCCGGGUUGCGGACAGUGUCUGGUGGGUAGUUUGACUGGGGCGGUCUCCUCCUAAAGAGUAACGGAGGAGCACGAAGGUUGGCUAAUCCUGGUCGGACAUCAGGAGGUUAGUGCAAUGGCAUAAGCCAGCUUGACUGCGAGCGUGACGGCGCGAGCAGGUGCGAAAGCAGGUCAUAGUGAUCCGGUGGUUCUGAAUGGAAGGGCCAUCGCUCAACGGAUAAAAGGUACUCCGGGGAUAACAGGCUGAUACCGCCCAAGAGUUCAUAUCGACGGCGGUGUUUGGCACCUCGAUGUCGGCUCAUCACAUCCUGGGGCUGAAGUAGGUCCCAAGGGUAUGGCUGUUCGCCAUUUAAAGUGGUACGCGAGCUGGGUUUAGAACGUCGUGAGACAGUUCGGUCCCUAUCUGCCGUGGGCGCUGGAGAACUGAGGGGGGCUGCUCCUAGUACGAGAGGACCGGAGUGGACGCAUCACUGGUGUUCGGGUUGUCAUGCCAAUGGCACUGCCCGGUAGCUAAAUGCGGAAGAGAUAAGUGCUGAAAGCAUCUAAGCACGAAACUUGCCCCGAGAUGAGUUCUCCCUGACCCUUUAAGGGUCCUGAAGGAACGUUGAAGACGACGACGUUGAUAGGCCGGGUGUGUAAGCGCAGCGAUGCGUUGAGCUAACCGGUACUAAUGAACCGUGAGGCUUAACCUU